Molecule: ribosomal RNA, 765 nt
Filed under: Prymnesium parvum
Lineage: Eukaryota; Haptophyta; Prymnesiales; Prymnesiaceae
Description: bacterial SSU rRNA
Rfam family: Bacterial small subunit ribosomal RNA
Source: RNAcentral
GCCGCGGUAAUACGGGGGAUGCAAGCGUUAUCCGGAAUCAUUGGGCGUAAAGCGCCUGUAGGUUGUUUAAUAAGUCCGUUGUUAAAGACUAGGGCUUAACCCUAGAAAAGCGAUGGAAACUACUAGACUUGAGUAUGGCAGGGGUAGAGGGAAUUUCUAGUGUAGCGGUGAAAUGCGUAGAUAUUAGAAAGAACACCGGUGGCGAAAGCGCUCUACUGGACCAUUACUGACACUCAGAGGCGAAAGCUAGGGUAGCAAAAGGGAUUAGAUACCCCUGUAGUCCUAGCCGUAAACGAUGGAUACUAGAUGUUGUAUAUAUUUUACAGUAUCGUAGCUAACGCGUUAAGUAUCCCGCCUGGGGAGUACGCUCGCAAGGGUGAAACUCAAAGGAAUUGACGGGGGCCCGCACAAGCGGUGGAGCAUGUGGUUUAAUUCGAUGCAACGCGAAGAACCUUACCAGGGCUUGACAUACUGCGAAUCUUUUUGAAAGGAAAGAGUGCCUUCGGGAAUGCAGAUACAGGUGGUGCAUGGCUGUCGUCAGCUCGUGUCGUGAGAUGUUGGGUUAAGUCCCGCAACGAGCGCAACCCUUAUUUUUAGUUACCAAUUUACUUGGGUUCUCUAGAAAGACUGCCGGUGACAAACCGGAGGAAGGUGAGGAUGACGUCAAGUCAGCAUGCCCCUUAUGUCCUGGGCUACACACGUGCUACAAUGGUUGGGACAAAGAGUUGCAAGUUUGCAAAAACAAGCUAAUCUCAUAAACCUAAC